GUGCUCGCUUCAGUAGCACAUAUACUAAAAUUGGAACAAUAUAGAGAAGAUUAGCAUGGCCCUUGCACAAGGAUGACACGCAAAUUCGUGAAGCAUUGCCGGGCGCA
Molecule: small nuclear RNA, 107 nt
Filed under: Chinchilla lanigera (long-tailed chinchilla)
Lineage: Eukaryota; Metazoa; Chordata; Mammalia; Rodentia; Chinchillidae
Source: RNAcentral